ACGUUAAUCGGGGCAGGGUGAGUCGACCCCUAAGGCGAGGCCGAAAGGCGUAGUCGAUGGGAAACAGGUUAAUAUUCCUGUACUUGGUGUUACUGCGAAGGGGGGACGGAGAAGGCUAUGUUGGCCGGGCGACGGUUGUCCCGGUUUAAGCGUGUAGGCUGGUUUUCCAGGCAAAUCCGGAAAAUCAAGGCUGAGGCGUGAUGACGAGGCACUACGGUGCUGAAGCAACAAAUGCCCUGCUUCCAGGAAAAGCCUCUAAGCAUCAGGUAACAUCAAAUCGUACCCCAAACCGACACAGGUGGUCAGGUAGAGAAUACCAAGGCGCUUGAGAGAACUCGGGUGAAGGAACUAGGCAAAAUGGUGCCGUAACUUCGGGAGAAGGCACGC
This 387-nucleotide ribosomal RNA is filed under the name Escherichia coli. RNAcentral's name for it is "partial 23S ribosomal RNA". It matches the Rfam family "Bacterial large subunit ribosomal RNA", at positions 1362 to 1751 of the family's 2925-position model. Lineage: Bacteria; Pseudomonadati; Pseudomonadota; Gammaproteobacteria; Enterobacterales; Enterobacteriaceae. The record is from RNAcentral.